This 1425-nucleotide long non-coding RNA is filed under the name Bos indicus x Bos taurus (hybrid cattle). Its description in RNAcentral is "lncRNA (ENSBIXG00000022908.1)". The record is from RNAcentral. Lineage: Eukaryota; Metazoa; Chordata; Mammalia; Artiodactyla; Bovidae.
AUGGCAGAACAAAGAGGCCCAGUCUGCAGACAGUGGAGGUGGGUCAGGAGACGGAGCCAGGGUGAAUCUGUGACUCGCGCCGCUCUGCAGUGCUUCUUCUGCUUUUGGGAACCAGAUCUUGAUCUGCAGAGCCUUAAGGCUGGCCCAAGGCAGGUGCAGAUGCAGGAAGAACUCCUACAGCUCUGUCUACUUUGGGGAGAAGCUAAUCACAAGAGGCUGGCCUCCAUCUCCACCUUGGUGGGGAGGCGGGCACCGGGGCCCGAGGAGAGGGAGAGGUGGUGGGAGGUCAGGAUCCACUCCCAGGAGGCCAGGGUACUUGGGAGCCCCCACCUCAGCUCCACCGGCCUCUCUCCUCACCCCUUCCUCUCCACUCCUUCCCUCCCUCUGCUCCUCCCAAGUCUGCACCUCCUUUCUGUUAACCCAGUUCCCUCUUCUUUCUUUCUUUCCUCUUUCUCUGUAUAUUUAUUCUCAAUUUUCCUUCGUUUGUUUUCCUCCUGCCCUCCCUCCACUGUUUUCUCUUCCUUCCCUCUUUCCUUUUCCCUAGCUUUCCUCCGUUCCUCUCCAUCUUUCUCCCAUUCAUUUUUCUCUUUUACUUUUUUAAACUUCUCUCUCUUUUCCUGCCCUUUUCUUUUACUUUCUAGCCUUCUCCUUUUGUUCAUGUGCUUUUCCUUCCUCUCUUGCUUUUCUUCCCUUCUCUCGUACAACAAACAAAUCUUGCUUCUUCAUUCUGUCUUUCAUGAAUGUUCCUUCGUUCCAUCGCUCUUCCCUGCUCCCUCCAAGUCCCCUCCUCUGCCCUCACUACAGGGCUUUCUCAAAUCUUCUCUUCCCUCACCAGUCUUUUUGUCGUUCUCAGGUUUUUUCCAGUCCUUUGUGCAGCUUCCUCAGCCUCCUUUCCAUCUUCCAUUGUUUAUAAAUCCUCUCUCUGAACAGGCAGAAGGCAUAAAUGUGCCCCCUCCUCAGAUCAGGGCUCUGUCCUGCAUCAGCCUACCCACCCCUCACACCAUUCUUUCUCAGCUUCCCCCAAUGCGGGGUUCAAUUUCAAGGGCUCACAGACGAGGCUGUUCGCCCCUAGCUGAGAAGUCAGGGCUGGGUCCACAGCUCCCCAGUACAGGCUUAGGGGACGCUCUGCCAAACUGUCAUGACUCCAUCAAUCCUAGUAUAAAAAAGAAAAAGGAAGAGAAGAAAAGAGUAAAAGAGAGACAGUUCUACAGACUGUGUGCGUGUUGGGGGCAGUUGGUGGAGAUGGGGGAAGAGGUGGAAAAAGGUCUAGAUUCAUCAAAGAGGGAGGGGGCAAAGUCCAGACCCAGGCGCCUUCUCUUAGCUCACCCAGAGCUGGGACAGCCGGUAAAAGAAACCUCAGUCGGCUCCCUGUUAAUUUUGGGAUUGGGUGGGGAUAAGACCUUCCAUCCCAUUCCUCUGGGCUAG